This 501-nucleotide ribosomal RNA is filed under the name uncultured bacterium. RNAcentral describes it as "partial 16S ribosomal RNA". It matches the Rfam family "Bacterial small subunit ribosomal RNA", at positions 30 to 523 of the family's 1533-position model. The record is from RNAcentral.
AUUGAACGCUGGCGGCAGGCUUAACACAUGCAAGUCGAGCGAGGUGAUGGUGCUUGCACUAUCACUUAGCGGCGGACGGGUGAGCAAUGCUUAGGAAUCUGCCUAUUAGUGGAGGACAACAUCUCGAAAGGGAUGCUAAUACCGCAUACGUCCUACGGGAGAAAGCAGGGGAUCUUCGGACCUUGCGCUAAUAGAUGAGCCUAAGUCGGAUUAGCUAGUUGGUGGGGUAAAGGCCUACCAAGGCGACGAUCUGUAGCGGGUCUGAGAGGAUGAUCCGCCACACUGGGACUGAGACACGGCCCAGACUCCUACGGGAGGCAGCAGUGGGGAAUAUUGGACAAUGGGGGGAACCCUGAUCCAGCCAUGCCGCGUGUGUGAAGAAGGCCUUAUGGUUGUAAAGCACUUUAAGCGAGGAGGAGGCUACUCUAGUUAAUACCUAGGGAUAGUGGACGUUACUCGCAGAAUAAGCACCGGCUAACUCUGUGCCAGCCGCCGCCGUAA